Molecule: ribosomal RNA, 431 nt
Filed under: uncultured bacterium
Lineage: Bacteria
Description: partial 16S ribosomal RNA
Rfam family: Bacterial small subunit ribosomal RNA
Source: RNAcentral
AACGAACGCUGGCGGCAUGCUUAACACAUGCAAGUCGAGCGCCCCGCCAGGGGAGCGGCAGACGUGUGAGUAACGCGUGGGAACGUACCUUUUGGUUCGGAACAACUCCGGGAAACUGGAGCUAAUACCGGAUAAGCCCUAACGGGGAAAGAUUUAUCGCCGAACGAUCGGCCCGCGUCUGAUUAGCUAGUUUGUGAGGUAACGGCUCACCAAGGCGACGAUCAGUAGCUGGUCUGAGAGGAUGAUCAGACACACUGGGACUGAGACACGGUCCAGACUCCUACGGGAGGCAGCAGUGGGGAAUAUUGGACAAUGGGCGCAAGCCUGAUCCAGCCAUGACGCGUGAGUGAUGAAGGCCUUAGGGUUGUAAAGCUCUUUUGUCCGGGAAGAUAAUGACUGUACCGGAAGAAUAAGCCCCGGCUAACUUCGUG